Molecule: ribosomal RNA, 429 nt
Filed under: Triticum aestivum (bread wheat)
Lineage: Eukaryota; Viridiplantae; Streptophyta; Magnoliopsida; Poales; Poaceae
Description: partial small subunit ribosomal RNA
Source: RNAcentral
AUGAUCGUUCUGAAGUUGGACUUCAGGAAGGCUUUUGACAGUGUCAGUUGGGCAUGCAUCUUCAGUAUUAUGGAGGCAUGGGGCUUCCCCCGGCGAUGGAUCGGCAGGGUCUCUUCUCUUCCGCGCACCUCCAGCUCUAGGGUCAUGAUCAAUGGUGAGCUUGGAGACCCGAUUGUCUCCAAGAGAGGGUUCAGGCAGGGCGAUUCGUUGUCACCUUAUCUGUUCAUCCUGGUGGCUGACGUGCUGCAACGGAUGUGCUAUGUUGCGUUCGAGGCAGGGAGUUUGGUUCACCCACUAGGCUCAGACAGGUUGUUCCGGUGCUGCAGUACGCCGAUGACACGCUGCUUCUCUUCCAGGGCAGCAUACAGCAGGCCGUUGUUAUCCGGGAUAUCCUGGCAGCUUUCACAGGUUUUACCGGUCUGCACAUAA